CAUUUUUCAGAGAAGGCUAAAGGCUAAAGGCUAAAGGCAGCACUACACGGACUUUACCACCAUAAACUUUGCAGCCCUUGGGCAGCGGAGCGAGUUUUCACGGUGUAUUCAGUGCUAUUCAACAAACUUGGUUUCGAAAGAAGUAAAUUCAAAUCUACUGCAUCCGUCGAACUCUCUGUUUUCUUGGGUCUGAGGGACUGCUACUGUAGCUGCUGUCAAGACAACUGCAUCCAGAGGAGUAACAGCUACAGUAUUUAAUGUUGGGAUUUGGAACUAGGCUAACUCUGGCCUGCCUAACACCUCGACCUCGGUUCGGUGUUAGUGAACCAAUGCAGGGAUGGAAGUGGACCGGAAACCGCUCCCAGCGCAGGAAGUUAACCACAGCGCAAGGCAUUCUGGGCCGAAACAGCCAAAAGAAAUGCGUGAGUCUUGCACUACAGAGAGAAAUAGCUUGUGUACCAUCGCUAAAAUUUAACGAUACUCCAUUUCUGUUUACAUUUUGUGGAGAAGGAAGUUUGCACUGGUCUUCAUGUUAUUUCCUUCAGUGAUUCUUGGUGCAGCGCCCCCACAGCAGGAUGCAUGGGAUGGAGCUUCCGUUGGGCAGCAUGGCCUUGUUGUCCAGGUCCUGUUUCC
Molecule: long non-coding RNA, 633 nt
Organism: Xiphophorus maculatus (southern platyfish)
Lineage: Eukaryota; Metazoa; Chordata; Actinopteri; Cyprinodontiformes; Poeciliidae
Exons: 3
Source: RefSeq, a predicted model, not a curated record